CGAUUACGGCUCAGUAACACGUAGUGAAUCUACCCCUUACUCGGGGAUAACUUGGAGAAAUCCUUGAUAAUACCCGAUGUGGAGGAAACUCCAAAGAUUUAUCGGUAAGGGACGAGCCUGCGGCCUAUCAGGUAGUUGGUGAGGUAAAUGCUCACCAAGCCUAUGACGGGUAGCUGAUCUGAGAGGAUGACCAGCCAGAAGGGCACUGAAACACGGGCCUUACUCCUACGGGAGGCAGCAGUGAGGAAUAUUGCGCAAUGGACGAAAGUCUGACGCAGCGACGUCGCGUGGAGGAUGACUGUCUUCGGAUUGUAAACUCCUGAAAAUAGCACCGGCAAACUACGUGCCAGCAGCAGCGGUCAUACGUAGGGUGCAAGCGUUACCCGGAUUUAUUGGGCGUAAAGCGUUCGUAGGCGGUAUUGUAAGUCAGUAGUCAAAUCUCCAGGCUCAACCUGGAACAGGCUAUUGAUACUGCAUUACUAGAGUUAGUUAGGGGGUAGUGGAACUUAUGGUGUAGCGGUGAAAUGCGUUGAUAUCAUAAGG
RNAcentral lists this ribosomal RNA (543 nucleotides) under uncultured archaeon. RNAcentral describes it as "bacterial SSU rRNA". It matches the Rfam family "Bacterial small subunit ribosomal RNA", at positions 97 to 704 of the family's 1533-position model. The record is from RNAcentral.